ACACCGGCAGCUCAAGUGGUAGCCGCUUUUAUUGGGCCUAAAGCGUCCGUAGCCGGUCUGAUAAGUCUCUGGUGAAAUCCCACAGCUUAACUGUGGGAAUUGCUGGAGAUACUAUCAUGACUCGAGGUCGGGAGAGGCUGGAGGUACUCCCAGGGUAGGGGUGAAAUCCUGUAAUCCUGGGAGGACCACCUGUGGCGAAGGCGUCCCGCGGGAACGAACCUGACGGGGAGGGACGAAAGCCAGGGGCGCGAACCGGAUUAGAUACCCGGGUAGUCCUGGCCGUAAACGAUGUGGACUUGGUGUUGGGAUGGCUUCGAGCUGCCCCAGUGCCGAAGGGAAGCUGUUAAGUCCACCGCCUGGGAAGUACGGCCGCAAGGCUGAAACUCAAAGGAAUUGACGGG
This 401-nucleotide ribosomal RNA is filed under the name uncultured bacterium. RNAcentral's name for it is "partial 16S ribosomal RNA". It matches the Rfam family "Archaeal small subunit ribosomal RNA", at positions 473 to 872 of the family's 1478-position model. The record is from RNAcentral.